CCUACGGGGGGCAGCAGUGGGGAAUAUUGGACAAUGGGGGCAACCCUGAUCCAGCCAUGCCGCGUGUGUGAAGAAGGCCCUCGGGUUGUAAAGCACUUUCAGUGAGGAAGAACGCCUGGUGGUUAAUACCCAUCAGGAAAGACAUCACUCACAGAAGAAGCACCGGCUAACUCCGUGCCAGCAGCCGCGGUAAUACGGAUGGUGCGAGCGUUAAUCGGAAUUACUGGGCGUAAAGCGCGCGUAGGUGGCUUGAUAAGCCGGUUGUGAAAGCCCCGGGCUCAACCUGGGAACGGCAUCCGGAACUGUCAAGCUAGAGUGCAGGAGAGGAAGGUAGAAUUCCCGGUGUAGCGGUGAAAUGCGUAGAGAUCGGGAGGAAUACCAGUGGCGAAGGCGGCCUUCUGGACUGACACUGACACUGAGGUGCGAAAGCGUGGGUAGCAAACAGGAUUAGAUACCCCGGUAGUC
RNAcentral lists this ribosomal RNA (465 nucleotides) under Vreelandella stevensii. RNAcentral's name for it is "partial 16S ribosomal RNA". It matches the Rfam family "Bacterial small subunit ribosomal RNA", at positions 338 to 795 of the family's 1533-position model. Lineage: Bacteria; Pseudomonadati; Pseudomonadota; Gammaproteobacteria; Oceanospirillales; Halomonadaceae. The record is from RNAcentral.